Molecule: small nucleolar RNA, 105 nt
Organism: Echinops telfairi (small Madagascar hedgehog)
Lineage: Eukaryota; Metazoa; Chordata; Mammalia; Afrosoricida; Tenrecidae
Source: Ensembl
ACCCAUUUCUAGUUCAUAAGCAUGAUAAUUGGGUUUUCAUGCGUUUGUGUGGCCUGUGGCUCCCAUAAACUUUGUACGACACCGGCACAUUAGCCAUCUCUGUUA